Long non-coding RNA from Cyprinus carpio carpio, 1913 nucleotides. Lineage: Eukaryota; Metazoa; Chordata; Actinopteri; Cypriniformes; Cyprinidae. The record is from Ensembl.
AAAACAAGACAGCAAACUAACUUUCCAGAAUCAGAGCAAAAGCAGUGAUAUUUAUUCUUCUCACAUCAAUGCAAAACGUUUUCCUUUUUUCAUGGCAAAUCCGGAUUAUAUUUACAAAUGUGUAUCAAUCCUUCUCUGUAAUAUAUUCACAAUGUACAAGGAAAAAUACAACAAACAAAUAAGGAAUAGAUCGAAUACAGUAACUCACGUGUUGACAAAUCAAAGUGGGAUCGAGAAAAAUCCUAGAAAACUUUAAAAACGUUGUAAUUUGAAUAUAUUUUACACUGUAACACUCACUCUUUUUCAUGUCUUAAACACAGAACCAUCUCAAUCGCUGUCUCUCUCUCUCUCUCUCUCUCUCUCUCUCUCUACACACACACACACACACACAUACAAAAGAAGAAUUAAUCCCUCUCAAAUAUGUAAAACUCACGCAUAUUGUGUAAUUUCAGACAAAUUAUUCAGACAACAUCCCAAGGACACCCUUCAGUUUAAGUAUCAUAUUUAAAUAGUAUCACCUUCAAAUUUACAAGAACAGACAUUCUGUACAAAAAAAGGUAGUUAUGCUCUAAAAGAGGUAAAUAUUUGGUUAUUUGAGUCUGAAUGAGUAGUUGCGAAUCUUUUCAUAUGUGUGUCAGAGGAACGGUUCCGUUUACGCUCGUCGCGGAACUUUGAUAGUGCUGCGGUACAGCGUGAAGUCUGCUCUGAACGGACGGGUCCCCUGCCUCCGCCGCCGGUAAAUACAUGCUUAUCAUCUCUCGCAAGUCUCCGGGACAAGGGGCUCGAGAGUGAACUGUAACGGGAGGACUUACGCUCGGCUCCGAUUUCACCAGCGAGCCCAACGUGCCGAUGGCCCCAGAGGAAGCCACGCUGGAGUUUUGGUGUUGCGCGUAGGAUAUUCCAGCAUAACCUGACGGCGAGGCGCUCAUGUAGCUCUGAGAGUUUGAGAUGGGGCUGUACUGGAGAGCCGUCAUUUCGUAGCGGUGCAUAGGCUGGGGGUUAUGCGGAUGGUGAUGGUGUCCGUGGUGGUGAUGCGCUCCGCUGCCCGGGUGCUGACUGUAGGCGAGCUGCGCCUCCUGCAUCAUUGCGGCUGCAGCCGCGGCGGCCGCUACCUGCCCCGAGUACGCCCCGUUGGUCCAGCCGUUCAUGUGCGCGUAGCUCGCCGCGGUGUUGCCGCCGUGACCCACAGGACUGUCUAACCUCUGCCCGACCCCCGCUGCACCCAUACCCAUUCCCAGCCCCAUGCCGCCUCCGCCACCUGAUCCAGCGAGCAGGCCACCCGCCAAAGAGUACUUGUCCUUCUUGAGCAGCGUCUUGGUCUUCCUCCUGGGUCGGUACUUGUAAUCCGGGUGCUCCUUCAUGUGCAUGGCACGCAGUCUUUUCGCCUCAUCAAUGAAGGGUCGCUUUUCCGGCUCGGACAUGACCUUCCACUCCGCUCCGAGGCGCUUGCUGAUCUCUGAGUUGUGCAUCUUUGGAUUCUCCUGAGCCAUUUUUCUGCGCUGACCCCGAGACCACACCAUGAACGCAUUCAUAGGUCUCUUGACACGGUCUUGGUUAACUUUACUGCCGCCGUUGGGUCCCGUGUGGCCCGUGUUUGUGUUAGUCUGGGGUCCCGGGGAAUGCAAGUCCGUUUCCAUCAUCAUGCUAUACAUUCACCUGGCUUUAACUUACUCAGCUCACACACAGAAACAUUCACACGUCCCCGUUCCUGGCAGGCACACAGGUGUAGGACCUCUUAAUAACAAAAGAGGCCAGUCGAACAGGAGAGAUCGGUACAAUCCAGAGAGAGGAUAGAAGAUUUGAACUGCUGGAUCCAACCGUGGUUACACAGGAUUUGAACCGGAGCUCCUCACCUCUCAAGUACACCUCCGUACUCCUUGAGCUACCGAACAAACCUACUGCCUAUGAAAACC